This 322-nucleotide ribosomal RNA is filed under the name uncultured Desulfovibrio sp. Its description in RNAcentral is "bacterial SSU rRNA". It matches the Rfam family "Bacterial small subunit ribosomal RNA", at positions 1055 to 1382 of the family's 1533-position model. Lineage: Bacteria; Pseudomonadati; Thermodesulfobacteriota; Desulfovibrionia; Desulfovibrionales; Desulfovibrionaceae. The record is from RNAcentral.
UCAGCUCGUGCCGUGAGGUGUGGUUAAGUCCGCAACGAGCGCAACCCUAUUGCCAGUUGCUACCAGGUAAUGCUGGGCACUCUGGUGAGACUGCCCGGUUAACGGGGAGGAAGGUGGGACGACGUCAAGUCAUCAUGGCCCUUACGCCUAGGGCUACACACGUACUACAAUGGCGCAUACAAAGGGCAGCGAUACCGCGAGGUGGAGCCAAUCCCAAAAAGUGCGUCCCAGUCCGGAUUGCAGUCUGCAACUCGACUGCAUGAAGUUGGAAUCGCUAGUAAUUCGAGAUCAGCAUGCUCGGGUGAAUGCGUUCCCGGGCCUU